RNAcentral lists this unclassified non-coding RNA (645 nucleotides) under uncultured Prochlorococcus sp. RNAcentral's name for it is "partial 16S-23S ribosomal RNA intergenic spacer; may also contain 16S ribosomal RNA and 23S ribosomal RNA". The stretch from base 1 to 93 matches the Rfam family "Bacterial small subunit ribosomal RNA", at positions 1441 to 1533 of the family's 1533-position model. The record is from RNAcentral. Lineage: Bacteria; Bacillati; Cyanobacteriota; Cyanophyceae; Synechococcales; Prochlorococcaceae.
UUGUGGAGGAGGACGCCGAAGGUGGGGCUAAUGACUGGGGUGAAGUCGUAACAAGGUAGCCGUACCGGAAGGUGCGGCUGGAUCACCUCCUAACAGGGAGACAACAAAAUGUUUAAUAUUAUUAUUUUGUCACCUUAGGUCGAUCGGUAUCUCACGUUUUUAAUUUAUUAAGAAUUUCAUUUCCUAAGUUUUUCUAGGUCACACCCAUUAUUUUCCCUGGGCCAUUAGCUCAGGUGGUUAGAGCGCACCCCUGAUAAGGGUGAGGUCCCUGGUUCAAGUCCAGGAUGGCCCAUAUCUCUAUGUUGGGGGUAUAGCUCAGUUGGUAGAGCGCCGCUUUGCAAGCAGGAUGUCAGCGGUUCGAGUCCGCUUACCUCCACUGAUCACCACCUCUUCCAUAAUCGGUAGAAAGGAAAUUUUUUGAGUUGUGAUCAAAUUCUGAAAGAAUCUAGCUUCCUAAUGAAAUCAUUAAGAUGCUGGACUCAUUGAAUUAAUUUCAUUGUUUUCAGAGAACCUUGACAACUGCAUAGAUUAUUUUUAAAGACAAUAAGCAUCUUUAAUGAUGCAGAUUUAUUAUUUUUGCAAAUGCAUUAAUAACAAUUCUAUUAAGCUGAUGCUUCAUAUUUGAAGUUAUUGGUCAAGCUACAA